GUUUUAAUAUUUGCUAUUUAACCUUCAUUAAUUAUAUCUUUUUAAAUAAUAGUCCCCAGUCUAUUUAAAUAUGUUUUAUAUUCCUUAUUUCCCUCCCUGCCUUUUCAUUUUCAUUUUUCAAUCUUCUCUCUGACGCAUCUUUGUGGCUUCUCUCUCGCGAUUGUUUUGAAUCUUCUCUCUCGCGCAUCUUUGUGGCUUCUCUCUCGCGAUUGUUUUCAAUCUUCUCUCUCGCGCAUCUUUGGGUCUGUUUUGUCCCUACCAAAAGGUCCAUCAAAGACGCUCGAUCAAAGACGAUGGAUGAGUUUAAAGAAAUGUGUAAUUUGAAUGAAAAUGGUUCUAUUGAUUGUAACCGUAGUGAGGUUGAAAAAUCAAUUAAUAUAGAUAAUGAAAUUGAUGAAGAGGUUUAUUUAGAAGCUGAAGGUAAUGAAGAUGUAUACAAAAGUUAUCUUGAUCUGACGGCAGAUGAUAUUUUUGGAUUGGAGUUUGCAAGUGAAAAUGCUGCUUAUAAAUUUUAUUUCACUUAUGCUAAGUGUCAUGGUUUUGGGAUCAGAAGAGAUGAGGUAAGUUAUGAUGAUAAGCACAAUAUUGUGAUGCGACAAUAUUUAUGCAACAAAGCUGGAUUAAGAGACAAAAAGCAUUUGAUGAGAGAUGAUAGGAAAAAAGAACAUAGACCACUAUCUCGUACAGAUUGCAAAGCAAAGUUACGUGUGCGUUUGGAUCAAAAAACCUGUAAAUUUAAGGUUGUUUCAUUUGAGGAAGGUCAUAAUCAUAAUCUAUGUGAUUCAAAUUUUGUGCAAUUAAUCCGUACGUACCGUGGUUUGAGUUUUGCAGACAAAGUUCAGGUUGAUUCAUUAUGAUAGACUAUGGCCAAGGCCAAGGAAUCCAAGAGGUGAUAUCCUAAAAGAACCAAGAGGAAUGGGAUGAUC
This is a non-coding RNA of Cajanus cajan (pigeon pea), 926 nucleotides long. The record is from RefSeq and is a predicted model, not a curated record. NCBI's taxonomy places the organism in Eukaryota, Viridiplantae, Streptophyta, Magnoliopsida, Fabales, Fabaceae.